AUGCUUAAAAGCAAGUUUCGGUUUUAAAUUUUUUUCCCUGAAAAAAAAAUCUAAAUAGAAUUGCAUUUGGCUUUCUCUAUGUAUAGCAUGUUAACAGAAAGCAUAUCAUGUGAUAUUAUCACACAAAUUUUUUAAUAAUUCAUAAAUUGUAAAAAAAAAUCAUAAAUUUUGUUCUUAUUUCUGAAAUAGUUAAGAGUAUCAUUUUCAUGUUUUAAAACACUUGCACAUUUUAAUCACUACCAACGCUAAAAAUUAAAGAACAAAUGGAUAGCAAAAUAAUGACAAAUACUUGAUAUUAAAAAAAAAAUAAAUAUAAAGAGAGAAAAAUAUAAA
Molecule: unclassified non-coding RNA, 333 nt
Filed under: Hevea brasiliensis (rubber tree)
Lineage: Eukaryota; Viridiplantae; Streptophyta; Magnoliopsida; Malpighiales; Euphorbiaceae
Source: RNAcentral